ACCCGGCACAUUAUACGCGUUUGGGGUUUUCUUCACCUUCCCCGUCCGCGGUGGUGGCCCUGCGCGUCCUGGAGCUGCGGCUACCGGAACAGGGUCGGUGCCCCCCGGGAGGCGCGGGCCAGGGACUCCUCCAAGGGGGUCGCACCCGGAUCCGCAAACCGCCUCGGGCUGCCGACUCCGGCAGCCCGCGACCCUGCGAGUCGGGGUGCCGGGCAGCGUGUGGGUGCUACGCCCUCGGGGCGCCCAGGGUCACCCGCGGCCUGGCCCGCCCCGACCCCCCCGGUCACCGACAAGCCGGGGCGCGCACGGAGCUCCCGCGUCACCUGCAGGCCAGCUCCCUCCGAACCCGUCAGCCGAGCGGCACGCGGGGCCCCGGCCCAGCUCGCCCGCGGGAGCCCCGCUCCUCCCACGGACUCCCCGCUCCAGGCCGGGGACCCAGCCUCCGCGGAACCCCGCGACCGGGCGAGGUCGCUCCACCGCCAGCCUCCACCCUGCGGCCCGCGGAGCAGAGGGGGCGGGCACCGGGCGGGGGCGGGGCGACGGGCGGGCGGGGGCGGGGCCGGGGCCGGGGGCGGGACGGAGGGCGGGACGGAGGGGCGGGACGGGGGCGGGGCGACGGGCGGGCGGGGGCGGGGCUGGGGGGCGGGGCCGAGGGCGGGACGGAGGGGCGGGACGGGGCGGGGCGACGGGCGGGCGGGGGCGGGGCUGGGGGGGCGGGGCCGAGGGCGGGACGGAGGGCUGGGCGGGGGCGGGGCGACGUCGCGGGGGCGGGGCCAAGCCCCCCGGAACGCGUGCGUAAACCCGGGUUCCCAGACCCUUCAAGUGUUUCGGCAGAAGUGUCAGGGCCCCGUGGCUGUAUUUUUGGCAAGAACUGAGGAUACGGGCGGCGCUCGCAGACGUCAGAGGGUGGACACCGGCACGGACAAGGACUGUCGUCGGGGCCGCGGGACACCUGCUGCGCGCCGGGCCGCCGCCCCGCCACGCCCCCGCCACGCCCCGUCCCGCCCCCAGCCACGCCCCCAGACCCAGCCCCGCCCGGCCAGCCCCGCCCCCGCCCCGCCCCCGCCCCGCCCCCAGCCCCGCGGCCCUCCCGUCGAGGGCACAGCCCCCCGCCCCGGACGCGGCCACCCAGGCCUGCGGUGCGCACCCCGGCCCCGUCACAGCCGCGUCGGAAUGUCACGGACGAGGGCGAGCAGCGCGUCCAAAAAGCCUUCGUGGAGGACGGCCGCGGCGGGCUAA
Molecule: long non-coding RNA, 1239 nt
Filed under: Canis lupus familiaris (dog)
Lineage: Eukaryota; Metazoa; Chordata; Mammalia; Carnivora; Canidae
Description: lncRNA (ENSCAFG00040021385.1)
Source: RNAcentral